GACGAACGCUGGCGGCGUGCUUAACACAUGCAAGUCGAGCGGUAAGGCUCCUUCGGGAGUACACGAGCGGCGAACGGGUGAGUAACACGUGAGUAAUCUGCCCCUCACUUCGGGAUAACCACCGGAAACGGUGGCUAAUACCGAAUACGACCAGUCUUCGCAUGAGGUGCUGGUGGAAAGUCUUUUCGGUGAAGGAUGUGCUCGCGGCCUAUCAGCUUGUUGGUGGGGUAAUGGCCUACCAAGGCUUCGACGGGUAGCCGGCCUGAGAGGGUGACCGGCCACACUGGGACUGAGACACGGCCCAGACUCCUACGGGAGGCAGCAGUGGGGAAUAUUGGACAAUGGGCGAAAGCCUGAUCCAGCAACGCCGCGUGAGGGAUGACGGCCUUCGGGUUGUAAACCUCUUGCAGUACCGACGAAGCGCCCGGUCGGGUGGUGACGGUAGGUACAGAAGAAGGACCGGCCAACUACGUG
Molecule: ribosomal RNA, 474 nt
Filed under: uncultured bacterium
Lineage: Bacteria
Description: partial 16S ribosomal RNA
Rfam family: Bacterial small subunit ribosomal RNA
Source: RNAcentral